This 247-nucleotide ribosomal RNA is filed under the name uncultured Bacillota bacterium. RNAcentral describes it as "uncultured Firmicutes bacterium partial 16S ribosomal RNA". It matches the Rfam family "Bacterial small subunit ribosomal RNA", at positions 796 to 1041 of the family's 1533-position model. The record is from RNAcentral. Lineage: Bacteria; Bacillati; Bacillota.
CACGCCGUAAACGAUGGAUACUAGGUGUAGGGGGUAUCGACCCCCCCUGUGCCGGAGUUAACGCAAUAAGUAUCCCGCCUGGGGAGUACGGCCGCAAGGUUGAAACUCAAAGGAAUUGACGGGGGCCCGCACAAGCAGCGGAGCAUGUGGUUUAAUUCGAAGCAACGCGAAGAACCUUACCAGGGCUUGACAUCCCUCUGCCGGGUAUAGAGAUAUAUCUUUUCUUCGGAACAGAGGAGACAGGUGG